RNAcentral lists this unclassified non-coding RNA (274 nucleotides) under Hevea brasiliensis (rubber tree). Lineage: Eukaryota; Viridiplantae; Streptophyta; Magnoliopsida; Malpighiales; Euphorbiaceae. The record is from RNAcentral.
UCAGAACUUUAAACACUGAUAGGUAAAUUCUUAUUUAUAUCUAUACUCAAAUUUUUAGCCCCAUUCAGCUGUUUGGGACCUGAAAUAAUUAUUACUAUUAUAUGAUAUUUUUUAAUUAUUUUUAAAUGAUCGAUAAAUAAUAUACAUUCACAUAGGAAGCCCAAACCCAGUAAUUCUAAUUGUGAGAUAUGGCCUGCUGCUUUACAAAAAGUAACAGUGAAUCUGGAAUAUAGAACAAUUUAUUUUUCAUUUUUUUUUUAAAUGACUCUUUUUC